AUUUUUCAAUUGAAAGCUGACAGUAGGGCUUCCCCUAUGCAAUUAACAGAAAGGUCAGUUCCGCUAAGGGGUUCUUGCUUGAUCUAGCAUCUUUAGAUUAUUUAGCUAUUAGCUAUACUCAGCACCUUAGAUUAUUAUAUAUGUUUAUUUUAUGCUCAUCAAUGGGAAAUUACCGAAAAAGUAAUAUGCUUAAACGUCCAUUUUGGUGAACAUCAGAUUGAGAACCCGAACUCAUUCC
RNAcentral lists this long non-coding RNA (238 nucleotides) under Panax ginseng (ginseng). RNAcentral's name for it is "long non-coding RNA (PGIN_LNC015057)". The record is from RNAcentral. Lineage: Eukaryota; Viridiplantae; Streptophyta; Magnoliopsida; Apiales; Araliaceae.